GUUGAGCUAACCGGUACUAAUUAACCGUGAGGCUUAACCUUACAACGCCGAAGC
This 54-nucleotide ribosomal RNA is filed under the name Escherichia coli. RNAcentral's name for it is "partial 23S ribosomal RNA". Lineage: Bacteria; Pseudomonadati; Pseudomonadota; Gammaproteobacteria; Enterobacterales; Enterobacteriaceae. The record is from RNAcentral.